This 683-nucleotide ribosomal RNA is filed under the name uncultured Bacteroidales bacterium. Its description in RNAcentral is "bacterial SSU rRNA". It matches the Rfam family "Bacterial small subunit ribosomal RNA", at positions 60 to 737 of the family's 1533-position model. The record is from RNAcentral. Lineage: Bacteria; Pseudomonadati; Bacteroidota; Bacteroidia; Bacteroidales.
AGUCGAGGGGCAUCAGGGUGUAGCAAUACACCGCUGGCGACCGGCGCACGGGUGAGUAACACGUAUCCAACCUGCCCUUUACUCGGGGAUAGCCUUUCGAAAGAAAGAUUAAUACCCGAUGGUAUAACAUGACCUCCUGGUUUUGUUAUUAAAGAAUUUCGGUAGAGGAUGGGGAUGCGUUCCAUUAGGCAGUUGGCGGGGUAACGGCCCACCAAACCUUCGAUGGAUAGGGGUUCUGAGAGGAAGGUCCCCCACAUUGGAACUGAGACACGGUCCAAACUCCUACGGGAGGCAGCAGUGAGGAAUAUUGGUCAAUGGGCGAGAGCCUGAACCAGCCAAGUAGCGUGAAGGAUGACCGCCCUAUGGGUUGUAAACUUCUUUUAUAUGGGAAUAAAGUUUGCCACGUGUGGCAUUUUGUAUGUACCAUAUGAAUAAGGAUCGGCUAACUCCGUGCCAGCAGCCGCGGUAAUACGGAGGAUCCGAGCGUUAUCCGGAUUUAUUGGGUUUAAAGGGAGCGUAGGUGGACAUGUAAGUCAGUUGUGAAAGUUUGCGGCUCAACCGUAAAAUUGCAGUUGAUACUGCGUGUCUUGAGUACAGUAGAGGUGGGCGGAAUUCGUGGUGUAGCGGUGAAAUGCUUAGAUAUCACGAAGAACUCCGAUUGCGAAGGCAGCUCACUGGACUGC